GACGAACGCUGGAGGCGUGCUUAACACAUGCAAGUCGAACGAUGAAAUGGAGCUUGUUCCAUGGAUUAGUGGCGAACGGGUGAGUAACACGUGAAUAACCUGCCCUUAAUUUUGGAAUAACCCAGGGAAACCUGGGCUAAUACCGGAUAAGUAAACCUGUGGCAUCACAUGGUUUUGGAAAGUUUUUCGAUUAAGGAUGGAUUCGCGGCCUAUUAGCUUGUUGGUGAGGUAAUGGCUCACCAAGGCGACGACGGGUAGCCGGCCUGAGAGGGUGAACGGCCACACUGGGACUGAGACACGGCCCAGACUCCUACGGGAGGCAGCAGUGGGGAAUAUUGCGCAAUGGACGAAAGUCUGACGCAGCGACGCCUCAUGAGGGACGAAGGUCUUCGGAUUGUAAACCUCUUUCAGCAGGGACGAAGCGAAAGUGACGGUACCUGCAGAAGAAGCACCGGCUAACUAUGUGCCAGCAGCCGCCGUAA
RNAcentral lists this ribosomal RNA (482 nucleotides) under uncultured bacterium. RNAcentral describes it as "partial 16S ribosomal RNA". It matches the Rfam family "Bacterial small subunit ribosomal RNA", at positions 28 to 523 of the family's 1533-position model. The record is from RNAcentral.